RNAcentral lists this long non-coding RNA (812 nucleotides) under Gallus gallus (chicken). The record is from RNAcentral. Lineage: Eukaryota; Metazoa; Chordata; Aves; Galliformes; Phasianidae.
GUUCUCUCUUGUUCAGUAGCCACCAUCUCAUCACGAAUUUUGCCAAUUUCGGUGUUGACUCCUGUUGCAAUUACCACUCCCAUAGCUUUACCAGCAGCAAUGUUAGUACCAGAAAAAAGCAUGUUCUUCUUGUCUUGAUUUACAGCACGAGGAUCGGGUACAGGAUCAGUGUGCUUAAUAACAGACACAGAUUCACCUGUGAGAAUGGACUGGUCUACCCUUAGAGUUGUAGAUUUGAUAGAAGUGAUUCUUAUAUCAGCAGGAACCUUGUCUCCAACUGCCACUUCCACAAUAUCACCUGGGACAAUGUCUCUUGCUUUGAUUCUCUGAACGCUCUUCCGAUCUUGUCGAUACACUUUACCCAUUUCUGGUUCAUAUUCUUUAAGAGCUUCAAUAGCAUUUUCAGCAUUUCUUUCCUGCCACACUCCCACAAUUGCAUUGGCUACUAAUAUAAGUAAGAUUACAAAAGGCUCUACAAACGCUGUGAUUGUUUCUUCACCUUCUUCAAACCAGGCCAGCACAAAAGAUAUGCAAGCUGCCAGCAACAGAAUUCUAACUAGUAAGUCUUCAAAUUGUUCAAUCACAAGCUCAAGUAAGGUUUUUCCUUCCUCAGCUGGUAACUCGUUGGAGCCCCAUUUCUCCUUCAGCUUCUUCACUUGCUCCAGGCUGAGCCCGGUGCUUUCGUUGACCCCGAAAUACGCCAAAACUUCCUCCACAGUCUUUGUGUGCGCGUUCUCCAUGGUCGGGGCAGGGAGCGGCAAAUGGAGCCUCGCUUCUUCUUCCUCCUCCUCCUCCUCAGCGGCGGAGUGCCC